RNAcentral lists this ribosomal RNA (483 nucleotides) under uncultured bacterium. RNAcentral describes it as "partial 16S ribosomal RNA". It matches the Rfam family "Bacterial small subunit ribosomal RNA", at positions 28 to 507 of the family's 1533-position model. The record is from RNAcentral.
GACGAACGCUGGCGGCGUGCCUAACACAUGCAAGUCGAGCGGGGAUUUAAGUGGAAGUCCUUCGGAAUGGAGAUUUAAAUUCUAGCGGCGGACGGGUGAGUAACGCGUGAACAAUCUGUCCCGGACAGGGGGAUAACACUUGGAAACAGGUGCUAAUACCGCAUAAGACCACGGCCUCGCAUGGGGCUGAGGUAAAAGGAGCAAUCCGGUUCGGGGUGAGUUCGCGUCCGACUAGCUAGUUGGUGAGGUAACGGCCCACCAAGGCGACGAUCGGUAGCCGGCCUGAGAGGGUGAACGGCCACAUUGGAACUGAGAGACGGUCCAAACUCCUACGGGAGGCAGCAGUGGGGAAUAUUGGGCAAUGGGCGUAAGCCUGACCCAGCAACGCCGCGUGAGGGAAGAAGGUUUUCGGAGUGUAAACCUCUGUCCUAUGGGACGAAGGAAGUGACGGUACCAUAGGAGGAAGCCCCGGCUAACUACGUG